RNAcentral lists this ribosomal RNA (499 nucleotides) under uncultured bacterium. RNAcentral describes it as "partial 16S ribosomal RNA". It matches the Rfam family "Bacterial small subunit ribosomal RNA", at positions 30 to 523 of the family's 1533-position model. The record is from RNAcentral.
AUUGAACGCUGGCGGCAUGCUUUACACACGCAAGUCGAACGGUAACAGGGUGCUUGCACCGCUGACGAGUGGCGAACGGGUGAGUAAUGCGUCGGAACGUGCCGAGUAGUGGGGGAUAACGCAGCGAAAGUUGUGCUAAUACCGCAUACGUACUGAGGUAGAAAGUGGGGACCUUCGGGCCUCACGCUAUUCGAGCGGCCGACGUCUGAUUAGCUAGUAGGUGAGGUAAAGGCUCACCUAGGCGACGAUCAGUAGCGGGUCUGAGAGGAUGAUCCGCCACACUGGGACUGAGACACGGCCCAGACUCCUACGGGAGGCAGCAGUGGGGAAUUUUGGACAAUGGGCGAAAGCCUGAUCCAGCCAUGCCGCGUGUCUGAAGAAGGCCUUCGGGUUGUAAAGGACUUUUGUCAGGGAGGAAAUCCCUAGUGCUAAUAACACUGGGGGAUGACAGUACCUGAAGAAUAAGCACCGGCUAACUACGUGCCAGCCGCCGCUGUAA